AGAUUGAACGCUGGCGGCAUGCCUUACACAUGCAAGUCGAACGGCAGCACGGGGGCAACCCUGGUGGCGAGUGGCGAACGGGUGAGUAAUAUAUCGGAACGUGCCCCGGAGUGGGGGAUAACGCAGCGAAAGUUGCGCUAAUACCGCAUACGAUCUCAGGAUGAAAGCAGGGGAUCGCAAGACCUUGCGCGAAUGGAGCGGCCGAUGGCAGAUUAGGUAGUUGGUGAGGUAAAGGCUCACCAAGCCUUCGAUCUGUAGCUGGUCUGAGAGGACGACCAGCCACACUGGGACUGAGACACGGCCCAGACCCCUACGGGAGGCAGCAGUGGGGAAUUUUGGACAAUGGGCGAAAGCCUGAUCCAGCCAUGCCGCGUGCAGGAUGAAGCCUCGGUUGUAACUGUCUUUGUACGAACGAAAGUCUACUUUCUAAUAAAGGGUAUACGAUGUACGUACCGUAAGAAGUAAAGUCGAACCGUACGUAACUACGUAGUCCAGCUAA
This 499-nucleotide ribosomal RNA is filed under the name uncultured soil bacterium. RNAcentral's name for it is "bacterial SSU rRNA". It matches the Rfam family "Bacterial small subunit ribosomal RNA", at positions 26 to 500 of the family's 1533-position model. The record is from RNAcentral.